Molecule: ribosomal RNA, 497 nt
Filed under: uncultured bacterium
Lineage: Bacteria
Description: partial 16S ribosomal RNA
Rfam family: Bacterial small subunit ribosomal RNA
Source: RNAcentral
GAUGAACGCUGGCGGCGUGCCUGAUACAUGCAAGUCGAGCGAACGGACGAGAAGCUUGCUUUUCUGAUGUUAGCGGCGGACGGGUGAGUAACACGUGGAUAACCUACCUAUAAGACUGGGAUAACUUCGGGAAACCGGAGCUAAUACCGGAUAAUAUUUUGAACCGCAUGGUUCAAAAGUGAAAGACGGUCUUGCUGUCACUUAUAGAUGGAUCCGCGCUGCAUUAGCUAGUUGGUAAGGUAACGGCUUACCAAGGCAACGAUGCAUAGCCGACCUGAGAGGGUGAUCGGCCACACUGGAACUGAGACACGGUCCAGACUCCUACGGGAGGCAGCAGUAGGGAAUCUUCCGCAAUGGGCGAAAGCCUGACGGAGCAACGCCGCGUGAGUGAUGAAGGUCUUCGGAUCGUAAAACUCUGUUAUUAGGGAAGAACAUAUGUGUAAGUAACUGUGCACAUCUUGACGGUACCUAAUCAGAAAGCCACGGCUAACUACGUG